Molecule: transfer RNA, 71 nt
Filed under: Danionella translucida
Lineage: Eukaryota; Metazoa; Chordata; Actinopteri; Cypriniformes; Danionidae
Also listed under: 1 other name
Rfam family: tRNA
About the family: Transfer RNA (tRNA) molecules are approximately 80 nucleotides in length. Their secondary structure includes four short double-helical elements and three loops (D, anti-codon, and T loops).
Source: Rfam by way of RNAcentral
GGUUUAUGGUGUAAAGGUUAGCACUCUGGACUCUGAAUCCAGUGUUCUGAGUUCAAAUUUUAGUAGGACCU